GGGGCCAUAGCUCAGCUGGUAGAGCGUCGCGCUUGCAUCGCGAAGGUCAGGGGUUCGAGCCCCCUUGGCUCCA
RNAcentral lists this transfer RNA (73 nucleotides) under Svornostia abyssi. Its description in RNAcentral is "tRNA-Ala". It matches the Rfam family "tRNA". Rfam says of the family: Transfer RNA (tRNA) molecules are approximately 80 nucleotides in length. Lineage: Bacteria; Bacillati; Actinomycetota; Thermoleophilia; Solirubrobacterales; Baekduiaceae. The record is from RNAcentral. RNAcentral also lists the same sequence under 1 other name.